This 440-nucleotide ribosomal RNA is filed under the name uncultured bacterium. RNAcentral describes it as "partial 16S ribosomal RNA". It matches the Rfam family "Bacterial small subunit ribosomal RNA", at positions 338 to 795 of the family's 1533-position model. The record is from RNAcentral.
CCUACGGGAGGCAGCAGUGGGGGAUAUUGCACAAUGGGGGGAACCCUGAUGCAGCGACGCCGCGUGGGUGAAGAAGCGCCUCGGCGCGUAAAGCCCUGUCAGCAGGGAAGAAAAUUACGGUACCUGAAGAAGAAGCCCCGGCUAACUACGUGCCAGCAGCCGCGGUAAUACGUAGGGGGCAAGCGUUAUCCGGAGUUACUGGGUGUAAAGGGGGCGCAGACGGCGAUGCAAGCCAGGAGUGAAAGCCCGGGGCCCAACCCCGGGACUGCUCUUGGAACUGCGUGGCUAGAGUGCAGGAGGGGCAGGCGGAAUUCCUGGUGUAGCGGUGAAAUGCGUAGAUAUCAGGAGGAACACCGGUGGCGAAGGCGGCCUGCUGGACUGCAACUGACGUUGAGGCCCGAAAGCGUGGGGAGCAAACAGGAUUAGAUACCCUUGUAGUC